GCGGCCGCGGGAAGCUUCUGCUCGCUCAGGGAUGAAGCUCCGCUAAUCCUGCAUCCCUCUCCUAGAAGCAUCCUUUUCCUAGUGGUGUUUUUGGCUACUCUGAACAAAGCUGCUGUAAAUAUUCAUGUACGGAUCUUGAUGUAGACGUAUAUUUUCACUUCACUUGAAAAAUACCCAAGAGUGGAAUUUCCGAAUCAUGUGGACUUGUGGCCUGAAUAAGCCAUCCAGCAAUCAGUAGGCCCGGGGGUGCUCUUUAGUGUUAUUAAAAAUAAGAAAUUACAGGCCAGAGCAACACAUACCCUGAAGAUGGCUCUGGAGCCCUGGGCAGAGUUCAUUCAUUGUCCACCUCUUCAGACGAGAUGACCCAGAACAGAGCCAGCCUGUGGGUUGGCCCAGCCACGGCCUUUGUCAACUGGAUGGACCUCGGGAGAAACAAAGGGGCAGCCCCCGAGCCGUCCGGUCAAGCCCCUGGUUGCUCGGAGUGGGUACUGAAGCCCCAAGAGGGGAGACAUCUCGCCAAGGGCCCGUGUAGUCAUUGACAACUCAUUAGCGCUGGAACUAGAGCAUCGUGGCCGUUAUUUGGUUUGGCUAAGAUUGCUCUAAGGCAGCAGGAGUUCUCACUCAGCUCCACACCUCUCAGCACAAACAGAGCCUGGCCACAGCUGGUCCUCUGUCAGUGUCUGCGAAUGCAACUGUGCACAAAUCAGCACGGCUCUUUCCUUGAGACGCAACUAGUGCCUCCAGAAGGGGUUCUUUCCAGACUGAGAAAGACCCAACCACCUGUCUGGAUCAGGGGCUCUGUCAGCUCUGAAGUGCUUUACAAACAUUGGCUCAUCUCGGUUCUACGUAGACGCAGCAUCACGAUGACCAGCACCAGGCCAAGCAGACGGACCAGAGAAAGCAGCUCUGAUAAACAGAAGGACAGAAGCCUGGGGGGGAUCCAGUGUUGCCAGAGCUUCCAGGUUUGCUUGUGUUUAAAAGACAGAAAUCCUCACUUUUCAAAAAGUUGCUGGAUUCUAAAAUGCUGACUCAAGAUAUUUUAAAACAGUUUGAGGACAAACAAAACACAUCUUUGUAGUCAGUGUGUCUGCUCCUCCAGGAUGCACAUCCAUCUGGCUGAUGGCAAAUGAGUCUGGGCUCUCGAGGCCUCGCUGUUGUGGGAGAGAGGCCCCUGGGUGUCGAUCACCACUGGCUAGGAGUGAUUAACUUCCUCUAAGUCGUCGGGUCCCCAAGAUGGAAACAGUAAUACCUACCUCAUGGGGUUGUUGAGAGAGUUGUAAGAUCAUGUAGAGAAACAGUACUUUGUAAACCAUAAAGCAAUGUACCAAGAGUUAAUACACAAAUAAUAGAUAUGUGUAAUAUAAUCUCUUUAAACCACCAAAGUUAGGAGGUUCUGGGGUUAAGAUACAUAACCCCAGGAAUUAACUCCUUGAACCGCAUUCAAGACCCCACCCAAGAAUAUUACAGAGGGGUAGGCAUUUGUUAGCUCAGAAUGAGCACGUCCAGAUCGAACUCUGUACUUAUUAGAAUUUGCAUUCUGAGGGCAAGAUGUAAGAGAAAGAGUGCAGGACUGCAAACCACACUUCCAGUCCCAGCGUUGCCACCAGGGCCAUGUGUCCCUGGGGAAGUUCUUUCUUUGCUCUGGGCCUCAGUUUCUCCAUCAACAACAUGAGCACACUGGACCAGCCUGCUUCCAGCUCCGAAGUUUUCAAAUGUUAGCACCCCCACCAGCUUAGCCUCCCAGUGCUCCAGCUCGUGCCCGGCCGUGGGGACCCCGCUGUGUGACCUGAGCUAUCACAUCCUAGCCAGGGCUUCUGCCUUGUCCCCAGGCCCAAGUGACCCAGUUGUGCUAAAGCUCUGAUGGAACCUCAGUGGGUGGGGGUUCAUAUGGAAGGAUGGGUUGACUUAGGGCUUGAAUUGACUUAGACUAAAUUCAGAGACAGACAGGGAGGCAGAUAAACACCAGUCAGAUGGAGGCUCCGUGGAAAGUAGACCCAGGACCUUCUGAGGCUCUGCUUUUGUGUGGGAGGCAAGAUUUUCCUCACCCUCUUUGGGUGUUUCAGCUGGACCUGAGAAUUAAAUUGACAUAAGACAGAUCAACAGGAGAAAAGCAUACAGAUUUUUCCAACAGAAGUUUUAUGUGACAUGGGAGCCCAUGAGAAAUAAAGACCCAGAGAAGUGGCAAAGCCUUUGUGCUUUUUUACCAGGUAAAGCAGAGAGAGGCAAUUGUGGAAAAAGAACUAAACUACAUGGGGACAUUAAAGGAAGAUAAGAGUUAUUUUCAGGUACAGAACUCUCUAGUCUCAGCUUCCAUCCUUGCUGAUAAGAAUGUGACUUUCUUUCCGGUGUAGGGAAGGCUUCUUUCACAUGGAAAUUUCAUUAUUUUUAAGAAAAAGAAAGUCAGGGUGUUCUUGCACCUGCUGUUUUUCAAGUACCUUUAGCUCAGAAUAGUCAACGUGCCAGAGUCGCAUAUUUUGGGGUGGCGCGUGGGGGCCUCCUCCUUGACUUGAUGGAGUUGGACCAGAUCUUUCCUAAUAGUGACCAUUGUAUUGGGCCCUGGCCCAGGCUUAGCACCCCGCAAAGUGCUUCCACACCCAUUGCCUUGUCCUGGAACAAGCAUCCUUACCCUGAGGCUAUAAAGGGUGGGGUGGGGUGGGGAGGGGGUCGGAGAGGCUAUGAGAUUUCCCCCAAGACAGGGUCACCCGUGGGGAGACAGGGCCUGCACCCCAGCCUCUGCCCUCAGUGCCGUGGGCCGCAUUUAUCGUAGUUACCGUGCACUCACAUUGCGCCUACUGUUGAGCAGUCACUUUUGGCUUGAGUUGUUCAGUCUUUACAACAACUCGACAGAGGGACAGGCUUCACUAAGGAGGAAACCAAAACAGGGAAGUGGAGUGACUUCCCUGCAGUCACGCAGCGGGCAAGUGCAUGUAGGGGCUGGAGCCUGGGGCCAUCUGAGUAGAGUCUGAGCUCUUAACCCCCACCUCCCCCAGUGCCCGCAGGAGCAGGCAGCUCUCUCCGGAAGCCAGCAUUCGGAUUCUGUGACUUCAUCUGUGAUUUUAGCUUGGGUUCCAGAGGAGCCCGCUUAGGUUUGCUCUCAUGAUCUCACCUUUUCUCUCCUAACCCAAAGCCACAACUACGUGGCAUGAACUGACUGUCCUCUGCAUGACCUUGGACAAGUCCCUUGACCCCUCCGGACUCGGCUUCCUGGUCUGUGAAGAGGAAAGGCCCUGGAUACCUGCUGGGGGCCCCGCAUGUUGAGACCCUGUGCUCCUUCUGUGGUGGUGUGUCCCCCUGAGACCAAACCCUGUGUGAAAAACAAAACUGAAACUCCCUGCUCUGUUUCUGAAGUAAUACUAGAGGCCUGAUGGUCAGGAGGAACAAGUGUCCAGAGUGACCAGGGGUCAAGCAGGCCCUUGAGACCCACGAAACCGGCAUUCUAGGAACUUCUAAAAGAGCCAGAUUCACAAAUGCCAGCAGGGCACAUGAUUUCUCGUAACAACAAAUGCCAAACACGAGAACGGAAAGCACUCCCAGGACACCUUGGCCCUGCUGCGCCGGAGUCACCUGGGAGACCCCCAGCCACCCGCUGGUGCUCUGGGAAAACAGCGCAUCCCCAUGUGUGGUGGCUCCCAAGGUGUUUCACGUACACUGGACUCUGAAAGCAGGAAGCCUCCCUGCAGACUUUGGGCCCCCCCGAGAGUGAACAUCCUGGUUUCUUGCAGCCAGGAAGCCUUUUCCAGUAUUUCUUGUAGUAUUUCUGCAUCUUUGAACUGUUUCCCGGAAAACACUGCAGAUGAUGAAAACCCAUUUCUGGGGUCUCUCACCAUUGCCAUGUGAACUGGGUGACCCCAAAGAGAGAGUUCCUUUUCCCUGCGGGGAAGAUGGAAGGGAGAUGCUUUGAGAUGAAAAACCACACAUGCGCUCUGGCUCUCUCACAGUUUAAUUCUGUUUAGUUUGAGGAAUAUUCAUCGCUGCCUCUGCACUGCGCUGUGCGAAGUACCAGCGGGAACCACACCAGGGAACCUCAAAGUGGAGAGGCAACUAAGAUUGGCAUGUUAGAUACUUUUUCACAUUGAUUGUUUCAUUCCAUCACCACACAACCUUCAGAGGCUGGUUGUGAUCUUUUCAGAAUGAGAAAACUAAAAGUCAGACAAGAGAAAACGACUUGCCCCAAAUAAUACCAUUCAUAAAAUGCUUAAUCCAGAAUUUAAACCCAUUUCUAUGUGUCUCCGAAGCCUGAGAAUGAGUGAAAAGGAAAGGAUAAUUUUCUAUAGGUAGAGGAAAAAAAUACUUGAAAGAAACACUGAAAUGUUCGCGAUGCUUCUUCCUGGGCAGUGGAAUCACGAUAAUUUUUGUGUGUAUCCUUGUGCUUCUCCGUCUUCCAGUUUUUCUCUUUCCUUGGACCUCAGAUGCAGAGGACAGCACCAGAUGUCCUCCGCAGUCCCUCUCUGGCUUUAUUUAAAUAACGAAUUAAUUCCCUUUGUCCCUAUUCCCUACUCCCACUCCUCCCUCCCCUGCCGAUGACGACUCCUCUAACGUGUUAGGCGCGUAUUGCUCUGUUUAUACUCCUGUAAAAGAUGUGGUUUUGUGUAUGAUGCAUUUAAUUCAUCUAAGGGAAAAAUCUCAUUUUGUUUAUCACUUUUAAAAAUACUCAGUACUAAAGAGAAAAUUUUUUAUUAUAAAAAUGUUCGUGCUUUUAAAAGUCGGCAGAAUGAUGUAGCAACUGAUACAUUCAUCGCCCAGCUGCAGCAGUGCCAGUUCGUGACCAGUCUU
Molecule: long non-coding RNA, 4773 nt
Organism: Camelus dromedarius (Arabian camel)
Lineage: Eukaryota; Metazoa; Chordata; Mammalia; Artiodactyla; Camelidae
Exons: 3
Source: RefSeq, a predicted model, not a curated record